CUGCCCGGUGACUUAGUUGUUAAACGGCCGCGGUACCCUAACCGUGCAAAGGUAGCAUAAUCAUUUGCCUUUUAAUUGGAGGCUGGUAUGAAUGGUUUGACGAGAGCUAUGCUGUCUCUUUUGGAAUAUUUAAAAAUUAAUUUUUAGGUGAAGAAGCCUAAAUUUAUUUAAGGGACAAGAAGACCCUGUUGAGCUUUAGUGAAAUUAUAAAUGUAUAUAUAAUGUGUUUUGUGCGUUAAUUUGUUAUGUAUUUAUUAUAAUAAUAGGUUUAUAAUUAAUCUUUAGUUGGGGCGACUGAGGAACAA
Molecule: ribosomal RNA, 305 nt
Filed under: Clelandella miliaris
Lineage: Eukaryota; Metazoa; Mollusca; Gastropoda; Trochida; Trochidae
Description: partial 16S ribosomal RNA
Rfam family: Bacterial large subunit ribosomal RNA
Source: RNAcentral